Molecule: non-coding RNA, 509 nt
Organism: Pelobates cultripes (western spadefoot toad)
Lineage: Eukaryota; Metazoa; Chordata; Amphibia; Anura; Pelobatidae
Source: the annotation of a GenBank genome assembly
AUUAACACGUAAGUGGGAGCAUUGGAAUUAAUAGUCAGCAUAUUUAGAACUAGACUGGGAUGGUGUAUUCUUUGCAAAUCAAUGUAAUCUACUGAUUGCAUUCAGUGUCUAACUAUUUCUUAUUUUUCACCUUGUCUUGGGCUCUGUUUGUGGCACCAAGUUCCAAUGAGUGAUACCUGCUAGCUUUCAGAAUCGAGGACCUGCUCAGUGACACAGUCUCUUCUAACUUUAAUUCCAGGAUUAACACUCACACUUCUACCAAAAAGAUUCCAUUUAUUUUAUUACGAAAAAAAAUAAAAAAUCUAUAACUAUUGACGGCUCUUUUAAAAGGAACAUUCUGGGCGCCAUAACAACUUUGUUGAGACAAAGUAGUUAUGGUGCCUGGUGAUCCUGGACAACAUUUUACCUUAAGAGGUAAAACCAUUUAUAAAUGGUUUAACACCAAAGUGCUCCAAAUAAUUAUUCUUUCUCCUCUGGCGCCAGUUUGAAUAUGGAUGCCUUACACUGGG